AUUGAACGCUGGCGGCAGGCCUAACACAUGCAAGUCGAGCGAGCGUCGGACGGGUGAGUAAUGUAUGGGGACUGCCUCUUAGAGGGGGAUAACUACUCGAAACGGUAGCUAAUACCGCAUACUAUCGGAUAACCCAUAUGGGAUUAGCUAGUAGGUGGGGUAAAGGCUAACCCCGGCGACGCUCUCUAGCUGGUCUGAGAGGAUGAUCAGCCACACUGGGACUGAGACACGGCCCAGACUCCUACGGAGGCAGCAGUGGGGAAUAUUGCGCAAUGGGGGCAACCCUGACGCAGCCAUGCCGCGUGAAUGAAGAAGGCCUUCGGGUUGUAAAGUUCUUUCGGUAGCGAGGCGUUAACUACAGAAGAAGCACCGGCUAACUCCGUGCCAGCAGCCGCGGUAAUUC
This 403-nucleotide ribosomal RNA is filed under the name uncultured bacterium. RNAcentral's name for it is "partial 16S ribosomal RNA". It matches the Rfam family "Bacterial small subunit ribosomal RNA", at positions 30 to 526 of the family's 1533-position model. The record is from RNAcentral.